Long non-coding RNA from Lycium ferocissimum, 1650 nucleotides. RefSeq lists it as uncharacterized. The transcript has 2 exons. NCBI's taxonomy places the organism in Eukaryota, Viridiplantae, Streptophyta, Magnoliopsida, Solanales, Solanaceae. The record is from RefSeq and is a predicted model, not a curated record.
AUAUUUUAUUGUAAUAAUAUUAUAUAAGAGAGGGUUUCAACAUGUCUGUUUAGGUGUCAAUAAAUUUCAAAUCAAGGAUAAUUUAGUCAUUUUAGUUUAGUGGAGCAUUACUAAUUAGCUACGUGCCUUCUACUCCUACGACCACCUUCCUCUUCCCUGCAAUUGAACAGCGAACUCAUCCCUUUCAUUCCCAACCCUAACAAAAAUUAGCCCAAUAUAUUUUUGGGUCUAUUACUGGGUGGAAGCAAAGCAAGAAAACUAAAAAAGUCACCAAUCAAAGUUCGAUUUUCAAUGAAGAUGCCGAUCCGCAAGCAGAAAAUUUCAACACCGAGAACGGAACUUUUCAGAGCUUGAAAGAGAAGCAGUUCUUGUAUGACAUUUUUGCUAAUGGGCGAAAUAGUUGUUGACAAGUAAUUCCCCCUCUCCUUUUACUUUCUUAAGAUGCAGCUUUUAUUAUGCCUAUACACAUUAGAAAAUUUCAAUAACUGAAUUUGGUGCUUUUAGCAACUUAUAAAUCAAGCUAAAAAUCAAAUAUCACACUAAGACGUGCAUUUUCACUACAUAUCCCUGUAUAUGUUAAAUAAUUGAAGUAUAACAUGCCAUGUCUUCUACUUGCUCAUACAUUUAUAUUUCCUUUUGGUCUUUUACUCGCAAAUCGUGCCCAAACGUCUUGCGUAGACUAAUUAUAACUAUUUACUCUGAGAGCUAUAUGCGUGAAUUGAGGGAUUCUACUGAGUCAAUGGUUGAGUACGAAUAGAUCUGAAAAUGAUUCAUGUUCUUAAAAGAUAUGCUGUUUCAAUUUUCUUGUUCGAAGUUCUAAAUUUUAACUAUAGGUAUAUACCCAAGUUAAAUGUCAAUGUUCACGAAAUGUCCAUUCUGUCUGCAUGCCUGUUUUGACUUUAUAACAGAAUUUCCUAUGUUGUGCAAGCUUCACAAAUAGAUCAAUAUGGUAAUAAUGUGCUGCAAACUAUAUUUUCAAUAAAUUCUUCGAUUUUUUCCAGAAGCAAAUGAUUAGUUCCCUGCAUCUCACGCUCCAUGAAUAGCCGGGAUACUGAGAAAUAUCCAAAAAGGUAUUUCGGGAAUCUGCUUUGUGUAGCUUGCUGAGCCUUUUUUGUCCUAUAAAAUAGAACAAUACUGAGGAUAACUACAUUUCUGUGAUGGCACAAUGAUAUAAUCAAAUUGAUGGCUUCCAUUCAACAGGAUGAUAAAAGAAGAUUGUUUGGCUUCCAUUCGUGUAAGAAUGUUAUAUCUGUGAUCAUCAUUCAUCACGAUUGUUAGGGCAGUAGUGCUUAAGCAUAUCUUUUAUAUUAUUGUGUCAUUACUUAUUUCUUUGUAAUGUGUCUCAAGGUACCCAUUAGAGUUUGUCAACUACCUUUGCCACUCUUGCCAUAAGGACAAACAUCAAAUACACCUGCACAGAAGCCAUGAAACUGGAGAUACAUUAACACCAUAUAUGUUGCUUGCUUGGAAGCUUGAUUUGCUUAAAUUAUCUACAUACCAGGUUGUGCUUAAUUUGUAAACAAAGUGCGUAAUGCUGCAAUACUUUUGGCUGAACAGAUACAGUUUGUAAUACCUCACUCCUUGCUGUUGUAACAUUUGAACAAGAAAACUGAAUUGCUAUGCAACAUUAUUGUCUAAUAAUAUGCUAAA